Molecule: ribosomal RNA, 334 nt
Filed under: Lunaceps timmermanni
Lineage: Eukaryota; Metazoa; Arthropoda; Insecta; Psocodea; Philopteridae
Description: partial 12S ribosomal RNA
Source: RNAcentral
GAGUAAGAAACAGCUCAACGGAGUAGUGACUGAUAGGCGAAAAGAAUAGUUACUGGCGGUCCUCAACCUAUCUAGAGGUACAUGUGAAGUAGAAUGAAUCUACACAAAAAAUCUUUUACUCUUUUGAAAUAAAGCAUUUUGCACACCACUGUCUGAAAAAGGAAGAAGCGAUUCCUUUUUUUCUAAAAAAGUAGGGUAAGGCAAGCAAACGUGCAGACUAUAGGAGUAAACUCAUGUGUUCCAAUUUUACUAAUGAAAUGAUGAAAGAAAUGAAAGAGAAUUUAGGAGUAAAAAAAUUUUAUCAAACUUCUUUGAAAAGAGCACUAGAGGACGU